This 500-nucleotide ribosomal RNA is filed under the name uncultured bacterium. RNAcentral's name for it is "partial 16S ribosomal RNA". It matches the Rfam family "Bacterial small subunit ribosomal RNA", at positions 30 to 523 of the family's 1533-position model. The record is from RNAcentral.
AUUGAACGCUGGCGGAAUGCUUUACACAUGCAAGUCGAACGGCAGCACGGACUUCGGUCUGGUGGCGAGUGGCGAACGGGUGAGUAAUGUAUCGGAACGUGCCCAGUCGUGGGGGAUAAUGUAGUGAAAAUUACGCUAAUACCGCAUACGAUCUAUGGAUGAAAGCGGGGGAUCGCAAGACCUCGCGCGAUUGGAGCGGCCGAUAUCAGAUUGGGUAGUUGGUGGGGUAAAGGCCCACCAAGCCAACGAUCUGUAGCUGGUCUGAGAGGACGACCAGCCACACUGGAACUGAGACACGGUCCAGACUCCUACGGGAGGCAGCAGUGGGGAAUUUUGGACAAUGGGCGAAAGCCUGAUCCGGUCAUUCCGCGUGCAGGAUGAAGGCCCUCGGGUUGUAAACUGCUUUUGUACAGAACGAAAAGGUCUCUACUAAUACUAGGAGCUCAUGACGGUACUGUAAGAAUAAGCACCGGCUAGCUACGUGCCAGCCGCCGCAGUAA